GAGGGUAUAGCUCAGUUGGUAGAGUGCUUGCUUUGCAUGCACAACGUCCUGGGUUCAAUCCCCCGUACCUCCA
This is a transfer RNA of Camelus ferus (Wild Bactrian camel), 73 nucleotides long. It matches the Rfam family "tRNA". From Rfam's summary of the family: Transfer RNA (tRNA) molecules are approximately 80 nucleotides in length. Their secondary structure includes four short double-helical elements and three loops (D, anti-codon, and T loops). The record is from Rfam. Lineage: Eukaryota; Metazoa; Chordata; Mammalia; Artiodactyla; Camelidae.